UGUUUUUUGUUUUAAUCCAUAAUAAUACUAAUCAUUUGCACGCUCUGGAAAGCGUUAUAAAUCCUUGCAGUUUUUUACCAUUUUCUCAAUCUUGAAUUUAAUUUCAUAUCAAGAUGGCAGCUGCAAGAAACACAUUUUUGCUUGUACUCUUUGGACUUGCUUUCCAAAGUCAGUCUGGAUCUGCUAAUAUCAUCCCGAUUAAUGCCCCAUCGCUCACACCUGCGGCACUACCACCCAUUGACAUCGCUGGUCUGAAUCAAUUAGCAUCGUUUGCACUGUUUGGUUUUGUUCCGGGUGUUCCUCCGUCAUGGCAAUCUAUCAGUCUUAACACACUCCUUGGCCAAGUUAUAAUCGGACCUAUUUUGAUUCCUAUCAUUUCAGGCAACUUAGGUAUUAUCAAUACAUUGUUGAGCAAUCUUCUUGUUUCCAGUAGUAAUCCAAUGCAAGGCCUCGUAACCCUCAUUUAUGUUCUAUUGAAAACCCUUGCUAAUUUAUUUGUUGUUGAGCCUGUUUUUACUGUGUUGUUUGAUUGGUUCAGUGCCAAAUUUUAUUAAUUUGUUAAAAAUUGUAAAUCUCAAAUAAAAAUCGUUAAAUUUUGAGUUGUAAA
This is a long non-coding RNA of Dalotia coriaria, 607 nucleotides long. RefSeq lists it as uncharacterized. The transcript is spliced from 2 exons. The record is from RefSeq and is a predicted model, not a curated record. Lineage: Eukaryota; Metazoa; Arthropoda; Insecta; Coleoptera; Staphylinidae.